GUAGUAGUCAAGCGAUGGGGUGACGCAGGAAGGUAGCUGGGCCCGGUGGUGGAUUACCGGGUGUAAGCCUGUAGGGCGUUGUGUAGGCAAAUCCGCACAGCAUGUGCCUGAGAGGUGAUGCGUAGCCGGUUGAGGUGAAUUCAGUGAUCCUAUGCUGCCGAGAAAAGCCUCUAGUGAGUUGGUACACGGCCCGUACCCCAAACCGACACAGGUGGUCAGGUAGAGAAUACUAAGGCGAUCGAGAUAACUGUGGUGAAGGAACUCGGCAAAAUACCUCCGUAACUUCGGGAGAAGGAGGGCCCGAUCUGGUGAUGAGUCUUGCACUCGGAGCUGGGUUGGGUCGCAGAGACCAGAGAGAAGCGACUGUUUACUAAAAACACAGGUCCGUGCGAAGUCGUAAGACGAUGUAUACGGACUGACGCCUGCCCGGUGCCGGAAGGUUAAGAGGACCGGUUAGCGCAGUAAUGUGCGAAGCUGAGAAUUUAAGCCCCGGUAAACGGCGGUGGUAACUAUAACCAUCCUAAGGUAGCGAAAUUCCUUGUCGGGUAAGUUCCGACCUGCACGAAUGGCGUAACGACUUCUCUGCUGUCUCCACCACAGACUCGGCGAAAUUGCAUUACGAGUAAAGAUGCUCGUUACGCGCGGCAGGACGAAAAGACCCCGGGACCUUCACUAUAGCUUGGUAUUGGUGUUCGGUACGGUUUGUGUAGGAUAGGUGGGAGACUGUGAAGCGGGCACGCCAGUGUUCGUGGAGUCGUCGUUGAAAUACCACUCUGGUCGUAUUGGACCUCUAACCUCGGGCCAUGAUCUGGUUCAGGGACAGUGCCUGGUGGGUAGUUUAACUGGGGCGGUUGCCUCCCAAAAUGUAACGGAGGCGCCCAAAGGUUCCCUCAGCCUGGUUGGCAAUCAGGUGUUGAGUGUAAGUGCACAAGGGAGCUUGACUGUGAGACUGACAGGUCGAGCAGGGACGAAAGUCGGGACUAGUGAUCCGGCACCGGCAUGUGGAAGCGGUGUCGCUCAACGGAUAAAAGGUACCCCGGGGAUAACAGGCUGAUCUUCCCCAAGAGUCCAUAUCGACGGGAUGGUUUGGCACCUCGAUGUCGGCUCGUCGCAUCCUGGGGCUGGAGUAGGUCCCAAGGGUUGGGCUGUUCGCCCAUUAAAGCGGCACGCGAGCUGGGUUUAGAACGUCGUGAGACAGUUCGGUCUCUAUCCGCCGCGCGCGUUAGAAACUUGAGGAAGGCUGUCCCUAGUACGAGAGGACCGGGACGGACGAACCUCUGGUGUGCCAGUUGUCCCGCCAGGGGCACGGCUGGUUGGCCACGUUCGGAAGGGAUAACCGCUGAAAGCAUCUAAGCGGGAAGCCUGUUCCAAGAUGAGGUUUCUCACCCCUUUAAGGGGGUAAGGCCCCCAACAGACCAUUGGGUUGAUAGGCCAGAACUGGAAGUGCGGUAACGCAUGGAGGUGACUGGUACUAAUAGGCCGAGGACUUACCAAC
Molecule: ribosomal RNA, 1495 nt
Filed under: Nocardia nova
Lineage: Bacteria; Bacillati; Actinomycetota; Actinomycetes; Mycobacteriales; Nocardiaceae
Description: partial 23S ribosomal RNA
Rfam family: Bacterial large subunit ribosomal RNA
Source: RNAcentral